CAACUUUCCACAACGGAUCUCUUGGCUCUCGCAUCGAUGAAGAACGCAGC
This 50-nucleotide ribosomal RNA is filed under the name uncultured fungus. RNAcentral's name for it is "partial 5.8S ribosomal RNA". It matches the Rfam family "5.8S ribosomal RNA", at positions 1 to 49 of the family's 154-position model. From Rfam's summary of the family: 5.8S ribosomal RNA (5.8S rRNA) is a component of the large subunit of the eukaryotic ribosome. It is transcribed by RNA polymerase I as part of the 45S precursor that also contains 18S and 28S rRNA. The record is from RNAcentral. Lineage: Eukaryota; Fungi.